UUAGCUGCCACCUUUCCCACAGGCACAACGUGCCCCAGGAGCUCCUCGUCCAAGGAGGGCGAGAGACCUGUGCCCUGCAUCCUGAGCCCAGCCAGCAGAGCUCCAGCUGCCUCGCGUAUGUGUGAGAGAGUGACAAAUCAGUUGAAUUUCAUGAUGGUCACGGCAUCAACUGAUAUUCAUUCCAGGCCAGCGCUGUGCACACAGCUCCAGCAUGCUUCAUCAAAACCGUCCUUUUGGAGAGACCCAGCCUGCCUUUGAUGAAUCCCUGUUCCUGUUAUGGUCCGAAGACUCAGGAAGAGGCAAAGGGGUCUUCGCUUGUGCAAAUGAGUUACAGCAAUGAGCAGCAGCUCAAGGGCGUGGGUGCUCACGAGCUCGUUCCUCCCUUCCUUCCCUUCCCCUCGUGUUCUGCCACUUCGCCUCUGCCCUCUGUCCUGCACAUGUACGCGGCUCAGUGCUGAAAUCCCUGCUGUCAUGAAUCUUACAGAGUAGAUGGGGCAACAGACAAGGAAGCAGCACAUAAAUAACGCACCCCACGUGGCGUGGGGGGAUCGCUGGGCUGGUAUGAGGGAGCAAGUUGGGGCGGGAUGCUUGAGGUCAGGGGUCUAUAAAAGCAUUUUUGGAAUGGUGACUUUUCAGCUGAGACCUGAGUGCAAGCGGGAGCCAGUCCUGGGGCUGGGAGGAGCGUGCGGGCAGAGGAAGGGGCAAGUGCCAGGUCCCAGGGCAGGGGCUGGUGGGAGGGCAGCUGCUGACUGCAGGGGAGCUGACCAUGGCCCUUGGUGGAGCGUCUCUUACUCCAGCAUUGUGGAGACCACUGCAGGGCGGGCCUCAGCUGUGGGACAGAUGUUAAUAGGGAGUUGACAGAAAGCAGGGGUUCGCAGAACUCCCAGGGGCUCCCUUGAACAAGGCAUGCCAGGUCACUCUAUUUCCUUUCUUGUGAUAUUUAUGAAAGUAAGAGAUUAAAGCAAUUCUUGUAGACAUUGUGGAUCGUGUUUAUAAAAGCAUUUAAUGAGAUAACUCAGGAGAGUAAAAUAUGGAGUAGAUGAUAAGGCCCUGCAGCAAAUUUGCACCUGUUUGGACAAUAAAUUGAGGUCAAGACCCAGCUGGGUUCAGAGAACGCCUGCGUAUCAGAGUUCUAGGUGGCCAGUGCUGGCAGCAAAGUCCACACAUUCCUUGAUAGGAUCUGCAUGACAAAUAAAAAUAGGUGCACUUAAGAACACUGCCCUUUAAGACAAGUGUUAAUGAAGUGUGGAUUUUAAUUUUACUUUGUAGGUCAGUCCAUAUCCACUCAUACUUAGUCUUUUAGACAUUUUUAAAUGGCUAUCUUGAUUUAUCUUAAAAGAUAAAAGAGGAAACAAAAUUGAUUUAAUAAUAUUCUCAGUGGGGAGGCCCGAAGUGAGACCGUAAUGACACCACAUGAAGGCCCUUCCCCAGGAACAGCGCUCUGGGCUUGUGGAGAUCAGGGCGGCUGGCCUCGGGGUGAGGACCUGGUUCUGUUAACUUGCAGAGAGAAGCUCGUGGGAGGUCAUCAGAUGACUCUCAGGGUGGAGGACCGGAGCCACUGCGGGGUGGCGGGAGCGUGGCCACUGCAGGGGCUUGCAGGGCAGGGAGUCCCGGGAAGACUUGCUCUGGAGGUUUUCCCGCCGGCUCGGCCAGGCUGGCUUGGGCAGGGGCUGCUGCUGGCCCCGCGAGGGCAGGGCACGUUUGAGAUGCAUCCCACCAACGAUCCCUCCAUGCUCAGGGUGACUCCUGCAAAGGUCAGGGUGCUCUCCUCAGUCGGCAGAAGGUGUGGGGACAACCACAAGGGACCGUCCCUUGUUGGCAUCAACCAGCAGCAUUAAUACAACUGUGACAUCUACACCAUCUUCCUGCUUUCCCAGUUCGUAUGCGUGCGCACACACGUGUGUUUUGAGUGUGCGUUUUACACGGAGGUGUGGGAGCACUUUCGUGUGCGUCUCUGGCAGUCCUUCCCUGGAGAUUGUGUGGUGAAUUAAAGGAGCAUCGCGACAGGGCCAGAGGCAGUGUUUUGACCUCACGGUGGGCCCUGGGUGGCGCUUCUGAGGUGGGGGAAACCUUAACGUCUCUUCUGUUGCCUGCAAGGACUGUCUGCUUAGCAAAUCAUGGUUUCUGUUACAUGUUCAAAGAUACUCUAUCCACCUGGGCUCGUGGAGCCCAUGAAGAGCUGAGCCCAGAGAGAUGCCAGUGAGUGAGUACCGCAGUGGGCUCUGGAGCCAGCUCCCCAGCACCACCUCACACCAGCUGGGUGACCUGGGCCAAGUCAUUUUGCCUUCUUAAGCCUCAGUUUCCUGAUCUGGGAAAUGGGUGUGGCAGGAUUACCUUUCUCAUGCUGGGUCUGUGUUGAGG
Sciurus carolinensis (gray squirrel) is the source of this 2361-nucleotide long non-coding RNA. RefSeq lists it as uncharacterized. Lineage: Eukaryota; Metazoa; Chordata; Mammalia; Rodentia; Sciuridae. The transcript has 3 exons. The record is from RefSeq and is a predicted model, not a curated record.